This 32-nucleotide ribosomal RNA is filed under the name Hypericum decandrum. RNAcentral describes it as "partial 26S ribosomal RNA". The record is from RNAcentral. Lineage: Eukaryota; Viridiplantae; Streptophyta; Magnoliopsida; Malpighiales; Hypericaceae.
GUGACCCCAGGUCAGGCGGGACUACCCGCUGA